This 477-nucleotide ribosomal RNA is filed under the name Miropandalus hardingi. Its description in RNAcentral is "partial 16S ribosomal RNA". It matches the Rfam family "Archaeal large subunit ribosomal RNA", at positions 1944 to 2657 of the family's 2987-position model. Lineage: Eukaryota; Metazoa; Arthropoda; Malacostraca; Decapoda; Pandalidae. The record is from RNAcentral.
GUCUAAUCUGCCCACUGAAGAUUUUAAAGGGCCGCAGUAUUUUAACUGUGCUAAGGUAGCAUAAUCAAUAGUCUUUUAAUUGAAGGCUGGAAUGAACGAUUGGACAAAAAAUAACCUGUCUUUUUAUUAACUUUUGAAUUUUACUUUUAAGUGAAAAGGCUUAAAUAAAUUAAGGGGGCGAUAAGACCCUAUAAAAUUUUACAAAAAUAUUAAUUUUUAUAAUAAAAAUAUGUUAAUUUGGUUAAUUAAUAAUUUGUUUAGCUGGGGCGGCAUUAAUAAAAAGUUUAACUGUUAAUGAAGUUUAAUACUUAUAAGUAGAAUAGUGAUCUUUAUUAAGGAUUAAAAGAUUAAGUUACUUUAGGGAUAACAGCGUAAUUUUUCUUGAGAGCUCUUAUCGACAGAAGAAGUUGCGACCUCGAUGUUGAAUUAAGAUGUUUUUUAAAAGUAGAUUUUUAAUUAAUUAGUUUGUUCAACUAU